This 73-nucleotide transfer RNA is filed under the name Ovis aries (sheep). It matches the Rfam family "tRNA". Rfam says of the family: Transfer RNA (tRNA) molecules are approximately 80 nucleotides in length. Their secondary structure includes four short double-helical elements and three loops (D, anti-codon, and T loops). The record is from Rfam by way of RNAcentral. Lineage: Eukaryota; Metazoa; Chordata; Mammalia; Artiodactyla; Bovidae.
UCCCUGGUGGUCCAGUGGUAAGGACUCUGCACUUCCACUGUAGGGGGCAAGAGUUCAGUCCCUGGUCAGGGAA